GACGAACGCUGGCGGCGUGCCUAAUACAUGCAAGUUGAGCGAUGAAGAUUGGUGCUUGCACCAAUUUGAAGAGCAGCGAACGGGUGAGUAACGCGUGGGGAAUCUGCCUUUGAGCGGGGGACAACAUUUGGAAACGAAUGCUAAUACCGCAUAACAACUUUAAACAUAAGUUUUAAGUUUGAAAGAUGCAAUUGCAUCACUCAAAGAUGAUCCCGCGUUGUAUUAGCUAGUUGGUGAGGUAAAGGCUCACCAAGGCGAUGAUACAUAGCCGACCUGAGAGGGUGAUCGGCCACAUUGGGACUGAGACACGGCCCAAACUCCUACGGGAGGCAGCAGUAGGGAAUCUUCGGCAAUGGACGAAAGUCUGACCGAGCAACGCCGCGUGAGUGAAGAAGGUUUUCGGAUCGUAAAACUCUGUUGGUAGAGAAGAACGUUGGUGAGAGUGGAAAGCUCAUCAGGUGACGGUAACUACCCAGAAAGGGACGGCUAACUACGUG
RNAcentral lists this ribosomal RNA (497 nucleotides) under uncultured bacterium. Its description in RNAcentral is "partial 16S ribosomal RNA". It matches the Rfam family "Bacterial small subunit ribosomal RNA", at positions 28 to 507 of the family's 1533-position model. The record is from RNAcentral.